RNAcentral lists this ribosomal RNA (194 nucleotides) under uncultured bacterium. RNAcentral's name for it is "partial 16S ribosomal RNA". It matches the Rfam family "Bacterial small subunit ribosomal RNA", at positions 1311 to 1500 of the family's 1533-position model. The record is from RNAcentral.
CUCGACUGCACGAAGCUGGAAUCGCUAGUAAUCGCGGAUCAGCACGCCGCGGUGAAUACGUUCCCGGGCCUUGUACACACCGCCCGUCACACCAUGGAAGUCUGCAAUGCCCGAAGCCGAUGGCCUAACCACUUAUGUGGAAGGAGCCGUCUAAGGCAGGGCAGAUGACUGGGGUGAAGUCGUAACAAGGUACC